AAAAAAAACAUAUUUAUCUUUUUAAUAUUGAAAACAGAAUUUACGACAAGUUUACAUAGAGGAUUGAAUCGCCCAAGGUGGCAGUACUGCUGGCGCGGGUGAGUGAUGGUUGAGUACAUCUUACCAACUUAAAGAAAAAAAAAACUUACAAUUUAUCAAGUAUUUCGACUUCCCGGCAUCCACAAACCAAGGAAGAGACUCCAGGAGCUCCACAAGCCCAACCACAGCGUCCGGUAGUGUGGGCGUCCCCGGAUGUUGCAAACCGCUGAAUGUGCUGCAGGAGUAUUGCACGGAGGUGGCGCAAGGAGGCAGUGUGGGAGAUGAAACCAGCCAAGGGGAAAUGAGUAAAUGAAAAUAAAAAAAGAAAAAAACCUGCACAUUAUGCCGCUGUGAGAAGAAAACAAGAAAACAGAAGUAGGGAAAUUUAAAGAGGAGACCAGUUUAAUUUAUAAGAUGUCGUGAUGACUCCUCUCCUGAAACAGUUGAAGUCGUAGGCUGGAGAAAAUGCAGAAACAGGAAGAGAGUUUCAGAGUUCACUGGAGCUGGCAUUUUUCCUCUAAAAGUAUCACUCCACUGACGGCAAAGGGAAGUGUGAUGUGGUGCUCACCUGUCCAGAGAGCCAGGUGUGCCAGGUAUGAUUGUGCCACUAGAUUACGUAACUGUUAUUGCCGUCGCUGCUUCAAGAUCAAUGCAUAACGUAACAACACGGAGGCAUAACAGUACAAAUACGUAAUGUGGUUAUGUAUGUGAA
Molecule: long non-coding RNA, 751 nt
Organism: Scylla paramamosain (green mud crab)
Lineage: Eukaryota; Metazoa; Arthropoda; Malacostraca; Decapoda; Portunidae
Exons: 3
Source: RefSeq, a predicted model, not a curated record